UACGUAGGGGGCUAGCGUUGUCCGGAAUCAUUGGGCGUAAAGCGCGUGUAGGCGGCCCGGUAAGUCCGCUGUGAAAGUCGGGGGCUCAACCCUCGGAUGCCGGUGGAUACUGUCGGGCUAGAGUGCGGAAGAGGCGAGUGGAAUUCCUGGUGUAGCGGUGAAAUGCGCAGAUAUCAGGAGGAACACCAAUGGCGAAGGCAGCACUCUGGGACGUGACUGACGCUGAGACGCGAAAGCGUGGGGAGCAAACAGG
This 253-nucleotide ribosomal RNA is filed under the name uncultured bacterium. Its description in RNAcentral is "partial 16S ribosomal RNA". It matches the Rfam family "Bacterial small subunit ribosomal RNA", at positions 524 to 776 of the family's 1533-position model. The record is from RNAcentral.